UGUAUUUUAUGAAUGGCCGCGGUACUUUGACCGUGCUAAGGUAGCGCAAUCAAUUGGUUUUUAAUUGGAGCCAGGUAUGAAUGGAGUUACGGGGUUUAACUGUUUCCUGCUCAUUAUAUCGAAAUUACUAUAUAGGUGAAAAAGCCUAUAGCACGAAAAAGGACGAGAAGACCCUUAGAGUUUUACUAAAAUUGAGUAGGUACUCAUAACAGUUUAGUUGGGGCAACGUAGGAGCAAAAAAUCUCCUGAAAAUAAUUUAUCGAUUAUUUUAGCAUUAAAUAAACUACCUUAGGGAUAACAGCAUAAUUUUAUUAAUAAGUUUGUGACCUCGAUGUUGGACUGGGAAACUGAAUGGUUAGCCGCCUUUUAGGUAAGUUCUGUUCGAACUAUUAUUCCCACGUGAUCUGAGUUCAGACCGGAACAAUAGGGUUUACGACCUCGAUGUUGGAUCAGGACAUCCCGAUGGUGCAGCCGCUAUUAAAGGUUCGUUUGUUCAACGAUUAAAGUCCUACGUGAUCUGAGUUUCAGACCGGA
This 534-nucleotide ribosomal RNA is filed under the name Polycerella emertoni. RNAcentral describes it as "partial large subunit ribosomal RNA". It matches the Rfam family "Archaeal large subunit ribosomal RNA", at positions 1990 to 2689 of the family's 2987-position model. The record is from RNAcentral. Lineage: Eukaryota; Metazoa; Mollusca; Gastropoda; Nudibranchia; Polyceridae.